Molecule: ribosomal RNA, 219 nt
Filed under: uncultured prokaryote
Description: partial 16S ribosomal RNA
Rfam family: Bacterial small subunit ribosomal RNA
Source: RNAcentral
GACGUGGGGGGCCAGCGUUGCUCGGAGUUACUGGGCGUAAAGGGUGUGUAGGCGGUCUUCUAAGUUUGGUGUGAAAUCUCCCGGCUCAACUGGGAGGGUGCGCCGAAUACUGAAAGACUCGAGUGCGGGAGAGGAGAGUGGAAUUCCUGGUGUAGCGGUGAAAUGCGUAGAUAUCAGGAGGAACACCGGUGGCGAAGGCGGCGUCCUGGGCCGGUCCUG